GACGAACGCUGGCGGCGUGCUUAACACAUGCAAGUCGAACGGAAAGGCCCCUUUGGGGGUACUCGAGUGGCGAACGGGUGGGUAACACGUGAGUAACCUGCCCUUGACUUCGGGAUAACUUCAGGAAACUGGGGCUAAUACCGGCUAGGAAUCCUUUCUUCAUGGUGGGGGUUGGAAAGAUUCGGCGGGUUUGGAUGGACUCGCGGCUUAUCAGCUUGUUGGUGGGGUAGGGGGUUACCAAGGCUUUGACGGGUAGCCGGCCUGGGAGGGCGAACGGCCACAUUGGGACUGAGAUACGGGCCAGACUCCUACGGGGGGCAGGAGGGGGGAAUAAUGCCCAAUGGGCGGAAGGCUGAAGCAGCAACGCCGCGGGCGGGAUGACGGGCUUUGGGUUGGAAAACGCUUUCAGCAGGGGCGAAGCCUGUGGUGACGGUACCUGCAGAAGAAGCACCGGCUAACUACGUG
This 465-nucleotide ribosomal RNA is filed under the name uncultured bacterium. Its description in RNAcentral is "partial 16S ribosomal RNA". It matches the Rfam family "Bacterial small subunit ribosomal RNA", at positions 28 to 507 of the family's 1533-position model. The record is from RNAcentral.